GGGACGAUAAUGACGGUACCAGGAGGAAUAAGCCUCGGCUAACUCCGUGCCAGCAGCCGCGGUAAUACGGAGGAGGCAAGCGUUAUCCGGAAUGAUUGGGCGUAAAGCGUCCGUAGGUGGCUGUUCAAGUCUGCUGUCAAAGACAGUGGCUUAACUACUGAAAGGCAGUGGAAACUGAACAGCUAGAGUACGGUAGGGGCAGAGGGAAUUCCCGGUGUAGCGGUGAAAUGCGUAGAUAUCGGGAAGAACACCGGUGGCGAAAGCGCUCUGCUGGGCCGUAACUGACACUGAGGGACGAAAGCUAGGGGAGCGAAUGGGAUUAGAUACCCCAGUAGUCCCAGCCGUAAACGAUGGAAACUAGGUGUAGCCUGUAUCGACCCGGGCUGUGCCGAAGCUAACGCGUUAAGUUUCCCGCCUGGGGAGUACGCACGCAAGUGUGAAACUCAAAGGAAUUGACGGGGGCCCGCACAAGCGGUGGAGUAUGUGGUUUAAUUCGAUGC
RNAcentral lists this ribosomal RNA (500 nucleotides) under uncultured bacterium. RNAcentral's name for it is "bacterial SSU rRNA". It matches the Rfam family "Bacterial small subunit ribosomal RNA", at positions 442 to 957 of the family's 1533-position model. The record is from RNAcentral.